UACGAAGGGGGCUAGCGUUGCUCGGAAUUACUGGGCGUAAAGGGAGCGUAGGCGGACAUUUAAGUCAGGGGUGAAAUCCCGGGGCUCAACCUCGGAAUUGCCUUUGAUACUGGGUGUCUUGAGUAUGAGAGAGGUAUGUGGAACUCCGAGUGUAGAGGUGAAAUUCGUAGAUAUUCGGAAGAACACCAGUGGCGAAGGCGACAUACUGGCUCAUUACUGACGCUGAGGCUCGAAAGCGUGGGAAGCAAACAGG
This 253-nucleotide ribosomal RNA is filed under the name uncultured bacterium. Its description in RNAcentral is "partial 16S ribosomal RNA". It matches the Rfam family "Bacterial small subunit ribosomal RNA", at positions 524 to 776 of the family's 1533-position model. The record is from RNAcentral.